This 322-nucleotide long non-coding RNA is filed under the name Gossypium barbadense (sea-island cotton). Its description in RNAcentral is "long non-coding RNA (GBAR_LNC019881)". The record is from RNAcentral. Lineage: Eukaryota; Viridiplantae; Streptophyta; Magnoliopsida; Malvales; Malvaceae.
AAAAUCAAGCUGCAAAGUUUGGACACGCAUUGCUAUUCAUAUCUCUUUUGCAAAACGAAAUUCACAUAAAAUAUGCUCCAUAGACUCCAUUGUAAAUCCACGUCCCGAACAUGAAGCAUCAUCGGUGAUAUUCCUGCAAUUCCGUAUCUGGUUUGAAUUAAGUCAAUCCAACGAAGCCAACCAAACAAAGAACGAAUUCGCUCCGGGAAAGGAGCUUCCAUAUCCACCCAUCAUUCGAUAGACGAUAAGAAGACCCCCCUUGUGACCAAAGAAUAUGCUGACUUUACAAACAACUUACCCGAGCAACAAUAGCAAAAAUCCC